UACGUGGGGAGCAAGCGUUGUUCGGAUUUACUGGGCGUAAAGGGCGCGUAGGCGGCCAGCACAAGUCAGUUGUGAAAUCUCCGAGCUUAACUCGGAACGGUCAACUGAUACUGUGCGGCUAGAGUGCAGAAGGGGCAACUGGAAUUCUUGGUGUAGCGGUGAAAUGCGUAGAUAUCAAGAGGAACACCUGCGGCGAAGGCGGGUUGCUGGGCUGACACUGACGCUGAGGCGCGAAAGCUAGGGGAGCGAACGGG
This 254-nucleotide ribosomal RNA is filed under the name uncultured bacterium. RNAcentral's name for it is "partial 16S ribosomal RNA". It matches the Rfam family "Bacterial small subunit ribosomal RNA", at positions 524 to 776 of the family's 1533-position model. The record is from RNAcentral.